RNAcentral lists this ribosomal RNA (481 nucleotides) under Fusarium sp. FSSC_35a. RNAcentral's name for it is "eukaryotic LSU rRNA". It matches the Rfam family "Eukaryotic large subunit ribosomal RNA", at positions 66 to 558 of the family's 3401-position model. The record is from RNAcentral. Lineage: Eukaryota; Fungi; Ascomycota; Sordariomycetes; Hypocreales; Nectriaceae. RNAcentral also lists the same sequence under 1 other name.
CAACAGGGAUUGCCCCAGUAACGGCGAGUGAAGCGGCAACAGCUCAAAUUUGAAAUCUGGCUCUCGGGCCCGAGUUGUAAUUUGUAGAGGAUGCUUUUGGUGAGGUGCCUUCCGAGUUCCCUGGAACGGGACGCCAUAGAGGGUGAGAGCCCCGUCUGGUUGGACGCCGAACCUCUGUAAAGCUCCUUCGACGAGUCGAGUAGUUUGGGAAUGCUGCUCUAAAUGGGAGGUAUAUGUCUUCUAAAGCUAAAUACCGGCCAGAGACCGAUAGCGCACAAGUAGAGUGAUCGAAAGAUGAAAAGAACUUUGAAAAGAGAGUUAAACAGUACGUGAAAUUGUUGAAAGGGAAGCGCUUGUGACCAGACUUGGGCUUGGUUGAUCAUCCGGGGUUCUCCCCGGUGCACUCUUCCGGCCCAGGCCAGCAUCAGUUCGCCCUGGGGGAUAAAGGCUUCGGGAACGUGGCUCUCUCCGGGGAGUGUUA